This 20-nucleotide non-coding RNA is filed under the name Arabidopsis thaliana (thale cress). RNAcentral also lists the same sequence under 1 other name. Lineage: Eukaryota; Viridiplantae; Streptophyta; Magnoliopsida; Brassicales; Brassicaceae. The record is from RNAcentral.
AGUAGCUGGUUCCCUCCGAA